CUCCGUCAUCUGUUCCUGCCUUACUUAGAUGGAAAAUAAUGAAAUCUGUGUAGGAAGGGAGGAAAUUCUCUGAAGAGGACACUUUACCUGGCUGGACAGGAAGCACGGCAGCAUCUACUCGGCUUCUGAGGCGUCCUCAGGAAACCUACAAUCAAGGUGGAAGGCGACAGGGGAAGCAGACAUGUUUUAUGUGGCUGGAGGAAGAGGAAGAGAAGUGGGGGGAGGUGCCACACACUUAAACAACCAGGUCUCUUGAGAACUCCAUCACAACAGCACCACGAGGAUGGUGCUAAACCAUUCAUGAAGGAUCCACCACCACAGUCCAGUCACCUUCCACCAGGCUCCACCUCCAACACUGGGGGUUACAAUUUGAAAUGAGAUUUGGUAGGGACACAGAACCAAACCAUAUCAGACAGUUCUUAAAAAUCUUUUUCAAUUUAACAUUUA
This 447-nucleotide long non-coding RNA is filed under the name Homo sapiens (human). RNAcentral's name for it is "non-protein coding lnc-DDC-3:7". The record is from RNAcentral. Lineage: Eukaryota; Metazoa; Chordata; Mammalia; Primates; Hominidae.